Molecule: long non-coding RNA, 2127 nt
Filed under: Equus caballus (horse)
Lineage: Eukaryota; Metazoa; Chordata; Mammalia; Perissodactyla; Equidae
Description: lncRNA (ENSECAG00000050316.1)
Source: RNAcentral
GUCUACUCAGGGCCAAUCUGCAGGUUAAUUUAUGGCAGCGGGCACUCUGAUGAUUUGGGAUCAUUUAAGCUCAUUACUACGGCACCUGGUGCCCAGGCUGCCCCAGUAGCUUAACUGGUCAUGUGACUUGAGUGACAUCAUCACCACUUUUCCCCACUUCCUGGAUUAAUGUUUGGUGGCCUACUUUUCCUCCGAAGCCUCUGGCAGAAGAUCCUGAGGAAGCAAAGCAUAAUACCGAUAAAUAUUAGAUCCUUCACUGCACUACUGGUUACAAGGAAAGAGGAAAUAUUCCGUUUUACAGCUCAGAGAUUCAGCUCCACUUUCCUUUGGCAAAGGGAGAGGCAUUUCAAGAUAUUUGGUCCUCAACAUCUGGAAGAGAGAAAACUCUUAAUAUACGGUGUUUUAAGGAAAACUUCAGGAUGCAAGCCAACAAAUAUCAAAGAAGAUAAUGAAGGACCACAGAACCCAGUCGAGUCCAAGCACAUUUAUCUGAGGAGCCAACUCAUAUUGACCUGUUUGUGCCCCUACUCUGCCUCUUGUUCCUGAUGAAGAUAUUAUAGAGAUAAAAGCCAUAAGAAAGAUGACAAACCAUAAUUAGGUGUGUCAUGAACUGAUGUCCAGCUAGCUUCACUUUCGGUUAAAGUCUAGGGUGGACGGUGGGCAUGUUCAAUCAGCAGAUGAAGAUGAGAUCACAACGGCCAAGUUUGGGAUCCUGAAUAAGAGUUGUACUCAGCACAGGAAUUAGGGGUCUUCUAGGGAGCUGAAGAUCUGUUGAAACCUCUGCUGACUUUGGGAUGUAAAUUACAUGCUUCAGGAAUCUCUCUUGUCUCAGUCUUUCAGCUUGAUGCCAUUGCUGCACAGAAGGAAAUCUUUGAAGGAGCAGCUAUAUUAAUCUCGAGGCUGGCUGCUCUGUUUCACAGAGAGCACGCUUUUGAGAAGCAUGUUGGAGUAGAGGUUAAGAGUGGAGAUUCUGGAGCCAGAUAGCACAGAUUAGCCCUGCGCUAACAUCUGCUGCCAAUCCUCUUCUUUUCACUGAGGAAGACUGGCCCUGAGCUAACAUCCAUGCCCAUCUUCCCCCACUUGAUAUGUGGCAUCCCUACCAUAGCAUGGCUUGCCAAGUGGUGCCGCACCCAGUAUUCGAACUGGCGAACACCUAGCCGCCAAAGCAGAACAUGAGAACUUAACCACUGUGCCACUGGGCUGGCCCGAAGUGCUUUUUACAUGUGAAUGUUGUUGUAUAAAUAUUUGCAGGUAUUAUUUUCCUGCUGCAAUUAUACGUAGCGGAUGUUGGAUGUUUUGUCUGCACUGCAUCCCUUCCUCCAUCUAUUGCUAAAGAGUGUUAAAAAUUUCCUUCUGAGGAGCAGCUCUCAUACACUCUGUGUGUCUUGGCUCGACUACCCUGCCCUCCCCUAGCCAUGAGACUUGUCACACUGUAAAUAAAGUCACACUUUAAAUUAAGCAAUACAUCAGGUCCCUAAAUUUUAGGGAUAUAAUUUGUGUGUGUGUGUGUGUGAGGAAGAUUGGCCCUGAGCUAACAUCUGUGCCAAUCUUCCUCUAUUUUAUAUGGGAUGCCACCACAGCAUGGCUUAUCAAGCAGUGCUAGAUCUGUGCCCAGGAUUCAAACCUGUGAACCCUGGGCUCCCACAGUGGAGCACACUAACAUAAUGAAUAUGCCACCCGGCUGGCCCCAGGAAUAUAAUUUUUAACUACCGUCACUUACCUGAUAUAAUCAUUAAAUUUAAAAUUCUGUGCCAUGCUAUCUGUGCUGAAAUUCAAACCACUUUAAAAUGUGACAGCUAAACAUAAUGCAAGCUGGUAACAGUUCUGGUACUAAAAAUUGUGGUGGUUUCUUCUGUUUACGUAACUCUUAGUACUGAAUCCUUUUCCACGAGGAUCUUGUUAAGAAGAGCAGAGUCAUGCUUCACCCUUAACAUCUACACCCUGUGACAUCAGAUUUUGAAGGGCUUUAUGUGAACUGGCAUAUUGUAAUUUUUCUAAGCAUUUAAAAAAAGAUAACAGAAUUGUUAUCUACAGUUUGUUACCUAACAGUUUGUUUAGGUACUAAUUCUGUUCAGAAAAAUAAGCCAGGAAAAGUUGAUGGUAUUCAUCAGGUUUUAACUGAGUGGA